Molecule: ribosomal RNA, 2841 nt
Filed under: Triticum aestivum (bread wheat)
Lineage: Eukaryota; Viridiplantae; Streptophyta; Magnoliopsida; Poales; Poaceae
Description: partial small subunit ribosomal RNA
Source: RNAcentral
AUGGAGCAAUCAACGGCGGCAAGUCCAUGGCUACUUCUUCUCUGCCUCGCCGUCGCUGCCACGGGCGGCGCACUCCAAGCUCGUGCCCAGCCGGACGUCAACGGUUUCAUAAGCAUUGACUGCGGGCUCGCCGGGAAGACGACGAGCUACGUGGACGACACCACCAAGCUGUUGUACACCAGCGACACCGAUUUCAUCGGCAACGUUGGCUCCACCCACAACAUCUCCGCCCAGUACAUGGUCAGGCCGACGCACCUCUCGAGACGCUACCACAGCGUGCGCAGCUUCCCCGACGGCGUGCGGAACUGCUACACGCUCCGGUCCCUCGUGCCCGGGGGCAAGUACCUCCUCCGUGCCUCGUUCAUGUACGGCGACUACGACGGCCUCGGCAGUCUACCCAUUUUUGAUCUGCACGUCGGUGUCAACUAUUGGCAGACCGUAAACAUCUCAGAGCCAGAUCUUGAGGUGACCGCCGAGGCCGUCGUGUUUGUGCCGGACGAGUUUGUUCAUGUGUGCUUGUUGAACACCGGCGCCGGGACGCCCUUCAUCUCGGACCUGGAGUUGAGGCCGCUGAAGAAGAAGUUCUACCCGCAGGCAAAUUUGACGAAGGGUCUCGUUCUGGAACACAGGCUGAACCUCGCGCCCCCGGACACCAGCAUCGUCAGGUACCCUGUAGAUCCACACGACCGUGUAUGGCUCCCUAAGAGUGAUGCAAAAAUGUGGAGCAGCAUAUCAACUACGGAGACGGUGCAGAGUGAUGGCGAUGUCUUCGAGGUACCAUCGAUGGUGAUGCAGACGGCAGUCACGCCGCUAAAUGCCGCCAUGAACCUCGAGAUCAUUUGGAGCCCCAACCCUCAGCCCCAGAACCAGUCCCUAGGAUAUCUCAUCAUCAUGCAUUUCUCCGAGCUGCAAUUGCUUCCUAGCAACGCCGAGCGCCAGUUCUACAUCAGCAUUAACGACAUGCAGUUACCCGAACCUGUUAGCCCACACUACCUUGGCACGGGCUUCGUGUCCAAUGGAAAUGCACGUUACCGAGACAACAAGUACAACAUCUCCAUGUACGCCACCGCCAACUCGACGCUACCACCUGUAAUCAGUGCCGUCGAGUUUUUCUCCGUCAUCUCCGCCACCAACAUUGCCACUGACUCCCAGGAUGUAUCUGCCAUCAUGGCGAUCAAAGCGAAUUAUGAGGUGCAGAAGAAUUGGAUGGGUGACCCAUGUGUUCCAAAGACUAUGGUCUGGGAAAGGCUGACAUGCAGCUACACCAGUGACAACUCUCCAAGGAUAAUAAGCAUAAAUCUUUCCUCUAGUGGCCUCAAUGGUGAUAUAUCCUCUUCUUUCACGAAUUUCAAGGCCGUCCAGUACUUGGAUUUGUCAAACAAUAACUUGACAGGCUCAAUACCAGGCUCCCUUUCGCAAUUGACAUCAUUGACAAUUUUAGAUUUGUCAGGCAACCACCUCAAUGGAUCAAUCUCACCUGAGCUCCUCAAAAGGACUCAAGAUGGCAGCCUGAAUCUAAGACAUGGCAACAACCCAGACAUUUGCACUGACGGCAAUUCAUGCCAGCCUACUAAAACGAAGAACAAGUUGGCCAUCUACGGUGUUGUCCUUAUAGCUGUCAUUGUGGUGCUGGUAUUAGUGGCAGUAGCGCUCUUUUUCUUUCUAAGACAAAGAAAUCCAGAAUCUAUGAACAACUCCGUCAAGUCACAUAAAGAAAUGAAAAACGAUGGGCAUAGGACAGAAAAGGAUGGCUAUGGGAACAGUCCACUUGGAUUGGAGACUCGUCAAUUCACCUACAUCGAACUUGAGAGAAUAACCAACAACUUCCGACGAGUGCUUGGCAAGGGAGGGUUUGGUAAUGUUUACGAAGGCUCACUAGAGGAUGGUACACAAGUAGCGGUGAAGAUUCGGUCAAAGUCCUCCAAUCAAGGCGACAGGGAAUUCCUCACGGAGGUUCAAAUUUUAACCCUCAUACAUCACAAGAAUCUUGUCUCCAUGAUUGGAUACUGCAAGGAUGGGGAGCACAUGGCACUUGUGUACGAGUUCAUGUCAGAGGGGACCCUAGAAGAGCACAUUUCAGGAAAAGGCAACAAUGCGGUAUGCUUACCCUGGAGACAGAGACUCCGAAUUGCAGUUGAAUCCGCUCAAGGGCUGGAGUACCUACACAAGGGGUGCAAUCCACCUUUGGUUCACAGGGAUGUUAAGGCCACAAACAUCCUGCUGAAUGCCAAAUUAGAGGCUAAGAUUGCUGAUUUCGGCCUGUCCAAGGCUUUUCAUCACAAUGAUGACACACAUGUUUCCACAAACAGAAUCGUUGGUACACCAGGAUAUGUGGAUCCAGACUACCAGACAACAUGGCGGGCCACAAGCAAGAGUGACGUGUACAGCUUUGGCAUCGUGUUGCUUGUGCUUGUCACUGGGAAGCCACCCAUCUUGCGCACCCCACAUACCAUCAGCAUCAUCGAGUGGGUGCAACAACGGCUAGCACAGGGAAACAUCGAGGGUGUGGUGGAUGUGCGGAUCCAUGGUGAUCAUGACAUAAAUAGUAUGUGGAAAGCCGCUGUUAUUGCGCUGAAGUGCACCACUGAGGCAUUGGCAGAACGGCCCACCAUGACCGAUGUCGUUGCUCAACUUCAAGAGUGCCUCAAUCUAGAGGAGGAAUUGGCUGACGGUGGGUCUGACAGCGGCAUCUACAACGGCACCAAUAGCGAUGACAUAAACUGGACAGAUGAUGCUUACUCUACAAACAAGUCUACAAACUCAAGUCAGAGAGCUGCACUUGAGAAAGAGCAUAAUUUUGGCAGGGUCCCAACAAUGGACACCGGACCUGCCGUGCGAUGA